UCUCGGCUCUUGCAUCGAUGAAGAACGUAGUGAAAUGCGAUACUUGGUGUGAAUUGCAGAAUCUCGUGAACCAUUGAGUCUUUGAACGCAAGUUGUGCCCGAGGCCUUGUGGCAGGGCACGCCUGCUUGGGCGUCAUGGCAUCGUCGCCUUUGCUCCUUGCUU
This 163-nucleotide ribosomal RNA is filed under the name Amomum odontocarpum. RNAcentral describes it as "5.8S ribosomal RNA". The stretch from base 1 to 136 matches the Rfam family "5.8S ribosomal RNA", at positions 19 to 154 of the family's 154-position model. Rfam says of the family: 5.8S ribosomal RNA (5.8S rRNA) is a component of the large subunit of the eukaryotic ribosome. It is transcribed by RNA polymerase I as part of the 45S precursor that also contains 18S and 28S rRNA. Lineage: Eukaryota; Viridiplantae; Streptophyta; Magnoliopsida; Zingiberales; Zingiberaceae. The record is from RNAcentral.